CUUUUUUAAAGAGUGACGGGCGAUUUGUGCAUGCUUAAUUUCAUUCUAUUCAAAAAAAAUUUAUUUUUUUUUUUAUUUUUAAUUUCAAGUCCUUUUUCUUAAAUUUUGCAUUAUUAAUCCAAUAUUUUUUUUUGUAUCCCAUAAAUUUACUAAAUUAUCAUCUCUGUCUUGAUUUAUAUUUUUAUGAAUCUAAUUUUAAAGUAAAGAUUUUAAAAUUUAAUUUUAUACAAUGAUAUAGAAGAUAAAAAAUUAAGUUCAGUGUAUCGUGGGUUGUCUAUUAUAAUACAGGAUCCCCUACUUUGUUUAAGCACCGCCAUUUUAUUUAAAUUUUGUUUAAUUAACUACUACUUUUUAUUUUUUUAAAA
This 365-nucleotide ribosomal RNA is filed under the name Tegolophus sp. FJ21_2. RNAcentral's name for it is "partial small subunit ribosomal RNA". Lineage: Eukaryota; Metazoa; Arthropoda; Arachnida; Trombidiformes; Eriophyidae. The record is from RNAcentral.